UGAAAACAUUCUUCGAUUCAGACUGCAUUGGGAUUCAUGUUUUAAGAACCCCAAAGCAAAGCAAGGGGCUUCAAAGCUCCUUCGCUACAAAUCCAAAACCCUCGUUAUGAUUCUUCACUUCACCAUUCAAAGUUUUAUACCCUGCGUGCGUUGCGGCGCGUUGGGACGGAACUGUAGGUUUUUAGUGACUGCAGGGGUUGCCGGUGGAUGAGAAGAUGUUGCGGAUCUAUGGAAUAACGAUUGCUGGUGGAUGAGAAGAUGUUGAGGGGAUCUAUGGAAUAACAGAUGUACCUGUGAUAUAAGUCGCAGUUAGACCUUUUAGUUUGGGAUCGAACUUUCACAGUUUGCGUUUCCUUAUUUCAUCAGUCGCAGUUCAAAUCAUUUUAAUUUGACAUUGUUUUAAGAAAAAAACGGUUGUUCAAAUAUAAGUUUGUAUGUAUUUUAACUGAGAUAA
Molecule: long non-coding RNA, 454 nt
Filed under: Helianthus annuus (common sunflower)
Lineage: Eukaryota; Viridiplantae; Streptophyta; Magnoliopsida; Asterales; Asteraceae
Source: RNAcentral